AACGUAGGUACCGAGCGUUAUCCGGAUUUACUGGGCGUAAAGGGCGCGUAGGCGGCCCGUUCAGCGUGUGGUGAAAGCUCGGGGCUCAACUCCGAGUCGGCCAUGCGAACUGGCGAGCUGGAGCACUGUAGAGGCAGGUAGAAUUCCGGGUGUAGCGGUGGAAUGCGUAGAGAUCCGGAAGAAUACCGGUGGCGAAGGCGGCCUGCUGGGCAGUAGCUGACGCUGAGGCGCGACAGCGUGGGGAGCAAACAGG
This 253-nucleotide ribosomal RNA is filed under the name uncultured bacterium. RNAcentral describes it as "partial 16S ribosomal RNA". It matches the Rfam family "Bacterial small subunit ribosomal RNA", at positions 524 to 776 of the family's 1533-position model. The record is from RNAcentral.